Molecule: ribosomal RNA, 560 nt
Filed under: uncultured Ramlibacter sp.
Lineage: Bacteria; Pseudomonadati; Pseudomonadota; Betaproteobacteria; Burkholderiales; Comamonadaceae
Description: bacterial SSU rRNA
Rfam family: Bacterial small subunit ribosomal RNA
Source: RNAcentral
CGCCCGCCGCGCGCGGCGGGCGGGGCGGGGGCACGGGGGGAGAGUUUGAUUCUGGCUCAGAUUGAACGCUGGCGGAAUGCUUUACACAUGCAAGUCGAACGGCAGCACGGGGGCAACCCUGGUGGCGAGUGGCGAACGGGUGAGUAAUACAUCGGAACGUGCCCAGUCGUGGGGGAUAACGUAGCGAAAGCUACGCUAAUACCGCAUACGAACUCUGGUUGAAAGCGGGGGAUCGCAAGACCUCGCGCGAUUGGAGCGACCGAUGGCAGAUUAGGUAGUUGGUGAGGUAAAGGCUCACCAAGCCUGCGAUCUGUAGCUGGUCUGAGAGGACGACCAGCCACACUGGGACUGAGACACGGCCCAGACUCCUACGGGAGGCAGCAGUGGGGAAUUUUGGACAAUGGGCGCAAGCCUGAUCCAGCCAUGCCGCGUGCAGGAUGAAGGCCUUCGGGUUGUAAACUGCUUUUGUACGGAACGAAAAGGCUUUCUCUAAUAAAGGGAGCUCAUGACGGUACCGUAAGAAUAAGCACCGGCUAACUACGUGCCAGCAGCCGCGGUAA